GAAUGAUGCAUGCUGACUGCUGUUCUCUGUUGUUUCAGUCCUCUCACAGGCUCUUCCUCAGAUUAGCUAAUAGGAAACUUUUGUUCCUUUAGAGGAGCAGAGGAACUGCCUUCGUUUCAUUGAGCUGUCAGAAACCUGAACACCAGGAAGCAAUUGUUUUUGAUUGCAGAUUUGGCAUUUAUCUGUUGCUGUGACCUGGGCACUUGGAGCAAUGUACUGAGCACAGUGGCUUUGCAGCCACAAACCAGACACCUACCUACUGACCUACCUACCUACCUACCUACCAAUGAACUGAUCGAUCUACCAACCUACCUACCGACCUACCUACCGACCUAUGUACCUAC
This 344-nucleotide long non-coding RNA is filed under the name Gallus gallus (chicken). RNAcentral's name for it is "lncRNA (ENSGALG00010013473.1)". The record is from RNAcentral. Lineage: Eukaryota; Metazoa; Chordata; Aves; Galliformes; Phasianidae.